Mastomys coucha (southern multimammate mouse) is the source of this 1966-nucleotide long non-coding RNA. RefSeq lists it as uncharacterized. The transcript is spliced from 3 exons. The record is from RefSeq and is a predicted model, not a curated record. NCBI's taxonomy places the organism in Eukaryota, Metazoa, Chordata, Mammalia, Rodentia, Muridae.
CAUCUGGUUCCACUCAGGUCCUCCCCCACCUCCAGGCGCGCUCCUCCUCCCAUCUCCUCCCUUGCUCCCAGAAAAGUGGAGACGAAUUUUAAAAACCCAGUCACACACACACACACACACAUACACACACACCACACACACGCGCACACACGCGCGUGCGCGCGCGCACACACACACACACAAACACACACGCACACUUCUCCAGAAAAGAUGGGAGUGAGAAAAAAGGAGGGAAAAGUCAAGAGGCCCCACUCUCCGGCGGGCCGGUCACCGAAGUUGGCCAAGUUGGCAGCGCCUUACCCAGGAGGGCGGCGGCGGAGUCCGCAGGGUGGCCAAGACGCAGUCCCCCGAGAAGCAAGACGCAGCGCAGCAGUCCCUCUCUUUUCAGACCGGGCCUGGAGCCCCAGACGCUGCGUCACAGCUUCUCCUGCUGGCGCGAGAGGCGAAGCAACUACAAAACUUUCCGCAGAACUUCACAUCGUGGCGAAACCUGGGCUGCUGCGAGGCCUGGCCAGCCGAGGGCGGGGAUGCGCGACUGACUCAGAAUGUGUGUGACUCCUGUGUCAGUGUACCUGGCACAAAGAAUGUAACACUUGAGCUGAUAGGGGCCUCUGCAUCCAGAGACCUGGGACAAAAGCGGUCCGCUAGAUGUCCCAGAAGAACUACAUCAUUCCCAGCAGCUGGGCUGCUGGCCGGUAGCAAAGAACAAAACGGAAAUUUCAUGAAGACAAUCCUCCAGUUACUUAGCCUUAUGCAACAGGUCAGAUGGCAGCGCAGAGCACUGGACUGAGAAUCUGGAUUUUGGAGGGCAGCCGACACCCUACCUCUGAUUUCCCAGUCUUGAAAGAGAUGCUUGGGAACUCCAGCUGAGAGCAGGGUUGAGACUUCUGGAGUCCUACAGCACAAAGCAGAUUCACCUUCUCCUAUCACAAGUGAUCAAAACACUGUAAAACUGUAAUAUACGUUUUAUUGUUUCCUGGACUAGCCCCUGCGGGGCUUUUUGGAAAUAACAAACAUGACUUUUCAGGACUUCUGCUGUAGGUAUCUCUGCUGUAAAGGCUCUGCUCCAGGGAGGCUCCACCUUGGCCCUUCUGAGCUCUGCCAACUGAGAUUCUUGGCUUAAUAUAGCCCACUGAUUGCAGGCCCCUGGAAAGGUCUCCCUAGCCAUGGCCCUGACUGUCACCCAAGAGAGCAAAACCCCUUACCCUAAGGCUAACUUGAGCAGGGUUACAGAUUGGCUUCUGGACAUUGUUCACAGCUUCACUGGCUCCAUGGAGCAUCUCUUCUUCGUUUGACAUGUCUUGGGAUCCUAAGGUCCUGUACACAGCUGGCUAAGCUAGGGCUGCCUUCUCCUGACAUCCCCCCUCCUUACAAGUCUUGUCAUUUGAGAGAUCUGAGAACCUGCCAGCUAUGGAUGAGCUACACUUCCCUAUCCGAACGGCCUAAAUACAAGAUGCUUCUGGAAACAGAAUCGGAUCCCUCUUCCACCAGCCAGAGUAGGUUUUGGUACUACCCAGCUGGCAGAGCAAGAGCCAACACUGUGAUGUCACAUGGGUGUGACAUGGCUCCGGCCAGUUGCCCACACAAGACCCACAGUGUGUGUGAACACACACUAUCAGUCAUCUCCCGUCCCAUCACCAAACACCAUCCUGUGCCAACCGAUGUGAAAGCAAAGACAAGCUAAUACACUUGUAGUCCUGAGACUUUCACUUGAUGGGAGAAAUUAACUCUUUGUCAUAUCCAGGGCUGAGAAGAGUCUGCUGGGGUGAGGGAUGGGAGCUGAAAAGUAUGACGGGCUAGCAGAGUCUUGUUCAAGGCCCUCAAGCCUGUUCUAGUCAGGGCCACUUACCAUGUACCACUUACUGGCUAUAUCUGACCAGGCCCCUGUCCAUGACUACCAUCUGACUUAGAUCUUGGGCAGAGAGCUGGGCCCAAACUGGCUAACUGCAGUGACUUCUGGCCCAGU